UACGUAGGGUGCGAGCGUUAAUCGGAAUUACUGGGCGUAAAGCGUGCGCAGGCGGUUCGUUAUGUCCGUUGUGAAAGCCCCGGGCUCAACCUGGGAAUGGCAAUGGAAACUGGCGGGCUAGAGUGUGGCAGAGGGGGGUGGAAUUCCGCGUGUAGCAGUGAAAUGCGUAGAGAUCGGGAGGAACAUCAGUUGCGAAGGCGGCCACCUGGACCAGCACUGACACUGAGGCACGAAAGCGUGGGGAGCAAACAGG
Molecule: ribosomal RNA, 253 nt
Filed under: uncultured bacterium
Lineage: Bacteria
Description: partial 16S ribosomal RNA
Rfam family: Bacterial small subunit ribosomal RNA
Source: RNAcentral